GAUGAACGCUGGCGGCGUGCCUAAUACAUGCAAGUCGAGCGAACAGACGAGGAGCUUGCUCCUCUGACGUUAGCGGCGGACGGGUGAGUAACACGUGGAUAACCUACCUAUAAGACUGGGAUAACUUCGGGAAACCGGAGCUAAUACCGGAUAAUAUAUUGAACCGCAUGGUUCAAUAGUGAAAGACGGUUUUGCUGUCACUUAUAGAUGGAUCCGCGCCGCAUUAGCUAGUUGGUAAGGUAACGGCUUACCAAGGCGACGAUGCGUAGCCGACCUGAGAGGGUGAUCGGCCACACUGGAACUGAGACACGGUCCAGACUCCUACGGGAGGCAGCAGUAGGGAAUCGUCCGCAAUGGGCGAAAGCCUGACGGAGCAACGCCGCGUGAGUGAUGAAGGUCUUCGGAUCGUAAAACUCUGUUAUUAGGGAAGAACAAACGUGUAAGUAACUAUGCACGUCUUGACGGUACCUAAUCAGAAAGCCACGGCUAACUACGUG
RNAcentral lists this ribosomal RNA (497 nucleotides) under uncultured bacterium. RNAcentral describes it as "partial 16S ribosomal RNA". It matches the Rfam family "Bacterial small subunit ribosomal RNA", at positions 28 to 507 of the family's 1533-position model. The record is from RNAcentral.